Molecule: long non-coding RNA, 2352 nt
Organism: Cyprinus carpio (common carp)
Lineage: Eukaryota; Metazoa; Chordata; Actinopteri; Cypriniformes; Cyprinidae
Source: RefSeq, a predicted model, not a curated record
CACGUCACUUUCACUUUUUUAAAUAUCGGAUCAGCUUUCCAGCGCUGGAGAGAACUAAAGGAGCGGGAAGGUCUGCGAUUGGAUGCCGAGGUUGCUUUAUUUCUUCUCAAUAAGCUGAGCUGGAUGCUGAAUCGAAAGAGUGAGCCGUAACAUUUAAGGUUUGUGCUGAGUUUCACCAUAUCAGAGAAAGAUGUUGCAUGACAUACUAAAUGUUUGAUCUUCAGGUGAGUGCAAAUUCACAAACACUAACUACCCCCAUCAUUGUUUUCAUUGUAUAUAAAAUAAAGUUGGUCUGCUUGUUUAACAUGUUUAUUUUUUUGUUAACAUGAGGUCAACAUGAAACGAGCCCUUCAUGGUCUCCCAGUGUAUGUGUGUGAGGAGAACUGUUCUUCAGGACAUGAAAUCUGCAAAUCAUUUGUCCUUUCCUCUGAGGAAUCUGGAUAUGUGACGAAAAGACUUUGAAUCCUCCCCGGCACCCAAAUCUACUCAGCUGAGUUCAUACUUCUUGAGGCUCGAAAGGAAUAUUCAGUUCCAGAAUAAUGUUACUCAUAAAUAAAUUACUCAGAGACUUUUCUUUUAAUAAAGUUUUAACGCAUCACCAUUUGUAAUGGCUUUGCUUUAUUAGACAAUAACUCAUAAGUAAUAAAAAAUGAAAAUAACAGCGAGUAAGUCUUCACCAUCGGAGUGUGGCCCCGCACAAAGCUCUCCUUGGCCUUUUAUAGCCUUGCAUAAAAUUUGCAUCAACUUCCCUGCCUUCCUUAUUUGGCAGUCUCCUAUAUUCAUACACAGACCGAGUGCAUGACGUUUAUCACACUUAAUACAGAGUGUCAAAAGUACAAAUGGAAGAAUUGCAGGGUCUAUUAGUAAAGCAUGCAACUGCUCAUAAAAAUAUCCAUAACACCUCUAAAGCAUAGUUAUAAUUAUACAUUUUCUCAACCACAAAAGUCACACUUGCAUAUAGAUAUAGUAAAAUUAGCACAGCUACGUAUAGGUUCCAUCUCACAAGUUUGUUGAGAUGCAUCCCCUUCCUCUCCAUCGUCCAAAUAAACAAAGCACAUAGCAACUUAAACCUUAAAGAUGUAUACUUAUAGAAAUGGGAAACAGAAGGUGUGAUCAAAACAUACAUCUGAAACUUCUACCUUGCCCCUGGACAGCAUGUCUGCGUCAAGGUUCAAUCUGCCCGGCACAUGAACCACCCUUAGCGAGCGGAAUUCUUUCUGUGCCCAAAAGAGGAGGCGAAGAGCCAUCCUGCAAAGAGGGUGUGACCUGAGACCGCCUUGGUGAUUGAUAUAAGCCACCACCGUCAUGCUGUCCAACUGGACCAAGACGCUGUGCCUUUUCAAGGAUGGAAGGAAGGUUUUCAGGGCUAAGAAAACUGCCAACAUCUCUAGGCAGCUGAUAUGCAGGUGUUGCUCCAGGGCUGACCAGGAGCCAAAUGCCGGAUUGCCCUCCAACAUGGCGCCCCAACCUGAGUUGGAUGCAUUCGUUGUGACUACCUUCCUUCUGGAGGUCAGGCCUAACCUUGUUCCUGUUUGGAACAGGUGAGAGGUCAUCCAGGGCGCCACAGCCUUGAUACAGCUGUGGUCUACCCUGACAGGAAACUGCCCCAGGUGCUAGGCGUGGGGUGGAAUGUGGGCUUUGAGCCAAAACUGAAGGGGCAACAUGUGAAGCAGACCCAAAAAAAAUUACAGAGGCAUCGGCCACCAUAAGGCCAAGCAACCUCUGAAAAACAUUUAGGGGGCUUGUCGCCCUGGUUUAAGAGAUGCCGCCAAUCGCUUAAUAGUCAGGGAUUGUUUCGACAUAAUCCAUGCCCGCAUUUGGGUGGAGUCUAAAAUCUUUCCCAGAAAGACCGCUUGCCAUCUGGGUAACAUCUAACUCUUGUGCAAGUUGAUGAUCCGCCCAAGGCGCUCCAAGUGGCUGAGUAACAGCUCUCUGUGAGCAGCCAACUCCCAUUCUGACCUGGCUAGAACCAGCCAAUCGUUGAGAUAGUUCAAAACAUGGAUUCCCAUCUGUCUCAGAGGGGAAAGAGCCGUGUCUACAGAUGUGAAAGUAUGCAUCUUUCAGAUCCACAUUCAAAAACCAGUCCUCGGGGCAAAUGUGCGCAAGGAUCUGUUUUAUAGUUAACAUCUUGAACGACCAGCGCAUAAGUGAAUGGUUCAGACGUCUGAGAUCCAGAAUGGGUCUGAGCCCGCCAUCUUUCUUUGGAACGAGGAAGUAGCGGCUAAAAAAGCCUGACUCACUGUUCGCUAGGGGUACUAUGUUAACUGUGAUGGUUAGGGCUGCGGUUCUCAAAAGCAUCAUGAGCUAAGUCGAUUGUUGAGACCAUUUGGUGGCAAAUGUUUCAACGAUCAU